UACGGAGGGUGCGAGCGUUGUCCGGAAUCACUGGGCGUAAAGCGCGUGUAGGCUGUCUCGAAAGUCGGGUGUGAAAUCUUGGAGCUUAACUCCGAAACUGCAUUCGAUACUGCCGUGCUUGAGGACUGGAGAGGAGACUGGAAUUUACGGUGUAGCGGUGAAAUGCGUAGAUAUCGUAAGGAAGACCAGUGGCGAAGGCGGGUCUCUGGACAGUUCCUGACGCUGAGGCACGAAGGUCAGGGGAGCAAACGGG
This 253-nucleotide ribosomal RNA is filed under the name uncultured bacterium. RNAcentral's name for it is "partial 16S ribosomal RNA". It matches the Rfam family "Bacterial small subunit ribosomal RNA", at positions 524 to 776 of the family's 1533-position model. The record is from RNAcentral.